UGGGGAAUAUUGGACAAUGGGCGAAAGCCUGAUCCAGCCAUGCCGCGUGUGUGAAGAAGGCCUUUUGGUUGUAAAGCACUUUAAGCGAGGAGGAGGGUACUGGUAUUAAUACUACCAGGUACUGGACGUUACUCGCAGAAUAAGCACCGGCUAACUCUGUGCCAGCAGCCGCGGUAAUACAGAGGGUGCGAGCGUUAAUCGGAUUUACUGGGCGUAAAGCGUGCGUAGGCGGCUAAUUGAGUCGGAUGUGAAAUCCCCGAGCUUAACUUGGGAAUUGCAUUCGAUACUGGUUAGCUAGAGUGUGGGAGAGGAUGGUAGAAUUCCAGGUGUAGCGGUGAAAUGCGUAGAGAUCUGGAGGAAUACCGAUGGCGAAGGCAGCCAUCUGGCCUAACACUGACGCUGAGGUACGAAAGCAUGGGGAGCAAACAGG
RNAcentral lists this ribosomal RNA (430 nucleotides) under Pseudomonadota bacterium. RNAcentral's name for it is "Proteobacteria bacterium partial 16S ribosomal RNA". It matches the Rfam family "Bacterial small subunit ribosomal RNA", at positions 355 to 776 of the family's 1533-position model. Lineage: Bacteria; Pseudomonadati; Pseudomonadota. The record is from RNAcentral.